GAUGAACGCUGGCGGCGUGCCUAAUACAUGCAAGUCGAGCGAACAGACGAGGAGCUUGCUCCUCUGACGUUAGCGGCGGACGGGUGAGUAACACGUGGAUAACCUACCUAUAAGACUGGGAUAACUUCGGGAAACCGGAGCUAAUACCGGAUAACAUGUUGAACCGCAUGGUUUAACAGUGAAAGACGGUCUUGCUGUCAUUUAUAGAUGGAUCCGCGCCGCAUUAGCUAGUUGGUAAGGUAACGGCUUACCAAGGCAACGAUGCGUAGCCGACCUGAGAGGGUGAUCGGCCACACAGGAACUGAGACACGGUCCAGACUCCUACGGGAGGCAGCAGUAGGGAAUCUUCCGCAAUGGGCGAAAGCCUGACGGAGCAACGCCGCGUGAGUGAAGAAGGUCUUCGGAUCGUAAAACUCUGUUAUUAGGGAAGAACAAAUGUGUAAGUAACUAUGCACGUCUUGACGGUACCUAAUCAGAAAGCCACGGCUAACUACGUG
Molecule: ribosomal RNA, 497 nt
Filed under: uncultured bacterium
Lineage: Bacteria
Description: partial 16S ribosomal RNA
Rfam family: Bacterial small subunit ribosomal RNA
Source: RNAcentral